This 1484-nucleotide ribosomal RNA is filed under the name Helicobacter pylori. RNAcentral's name for it is "bacterial SSU rRNA". It matches the Rfam family "Bacterial small subunit ribosomal RNA". Lineage: Bacteria; Pseudomonadati; Campylobacterota; Epsilonproteobacteria; Campylobacterales; Helicobacteraceae. The record is from RNAcentral.
AGAGUUUGAUCCUGGCUCAGAGUGAACGCUGGCGGCGUGCCUAAUACAUGCAAGUCGAACGAUGAAGCUUCUAGCUUGCUAGAAUGCUGAUUAGUGGCGCACGGGUGAGUAACGCAUAGGUCAUGUGCCUCUUAGUUUGGGAUAGCCAUUGGAAACGAUGAUUAAUACCAGAUACUCCCUACGGGGGAAAGAUUUAUCGCUAAGAGAUCAGCCUAUGUCCUAUCAGCUUGUUGGUAAGGUAAUGGCUUACCAAGGCUAUGACGGGUAUCCGGCCUGAGAGGGUGAACGGACACACUGGAACUGAGACACGGUCCAGACUCCUACGGGAGGCAGCAGUAGGGAAUAUUGCUCAAUGGGGGAAACCCUGAAGCAGCAACGCCGCGUGGAGGAUGAAGGUUUUAGGAUUGUAAACUCCUUUUGUUAGAGAAGAUAAUGACGGUAUCUAACGAAUAAGCACCGGCUAACUCCGUGCCAGCAGCCGCGGUAAUACGGAGGGUGCAAGCGUUACUCGGAAUCACUGGGCGUAAAGAGCGCGUAGGCGGGAUAGUCAGUCAGGUGUGAAAUCCUAUGGCUUAACCAUAGAACUGCAUUUGAAACUACUAUUCUAGAGUGUGGGAGAGGUAGGUGGAAUUCUUGGUGUAGGGGUAAAAUCCGUAGAGAUCAAGAGGAAUACUCAUUGCGAAGGCGACCUGCUGGAACAUUACUGACGCUGAUUGUGCGAAAGCGUGGGGAGCAAACAGGAUUAGAUACCCUGGUAGUCCACGCCCUAAACGAUGGAUGCUAGUUGUUGGAGGGCUUAGUCUCUCCAGUAAUGCAGCUAACGCAUUAAGCAUCCCGCCUGGGGAGUACGGUCGCAAGAUUAAAACUCAAAGGAAUAGACGGGGACCCGCACAAGCGGUGGAGCAUGUGGUUUAAUUCGAAGAUACACGAAGAACCUUACCUAGGCUUGACAUUGAGAGAAUCCGCUAGAAAUAGUGGAGUGUCUGGCUUGCUAGACCUUGAAAACAGGUGCUGCACGGCUGUCGUCAGCUCGUGUCGUGAGAUGUUGGGUUAAGUCCCGCAACGAGCGCAACCCCCUUUCUUAGUUGCUAACAGGUCAUGCUGAGAACUCUAAGGAUACUGCCUCCGUAAGGAGGAGGAAGGUGGGGACGACGUCAAGUCAUCAUGGCCCUUACGCCUAGGGCUACACACGUGCUACAAUGGGGUGCACAAAGAGAAGCAAUACUGCGAAGUGGAGCCAAUCUUCAAAACACCUCUCAGUUCGGAUUGUAGGCUGCAACUCGCCUGCAUGAAGCUGGAAUCGCUAGUAAUCGCAAAUCAGCCAUGUUGCGGUGAAUACGUUCCCGGGUCUUGUACUCACCGCCCGUCACACCAUGGGAGUUGUGUUUGCCUUAAGUCAGGAUGCUAAAUUGGCUACUGCCCACGGCACACACAGCGACUGGGGUGAAGUCGUAACAAGGUAACCGUAGGUGAACCUGCGGUUG